Molecule: ribosomal RNA, 508 nt
Filed under: uncultured bacterium
Lineage: Bacteria
Description: partial 16S ribosomal RNA
Rfam family: Bacterial small subunit ribosomal RNA
Source: RNAcentral
GACGAACGCUGGCGGCGUGCCUAAUACAUGCAAGUCGAACGCUUCUUUCCUCCCGAGUGCUUGCACUCAAUUGGAAAGAGGAGUGGCGGACGGGUGAGUAACACGUGGGUAACCUACCCAUCAGAGGGGGAUAACACUUGGAAAUAGGUGCUAAUACCGCAUAACAGUUUAUGCCGCAUGGCAUAAGAGUGAUAGGCGCUUUCGGGUGUCGCUGAUGGAUGGACCCGCGGUGCAUUAGCUAGUUGGUGAGGUAACGGCUCACCAAGGCCACGAUGCAUAGCCGACCUGAGAGGGUGAUCGGCCACACUGGGACUGAGACACGGCCCAGACUCCUACGGGAGGCAGCAGUAGGGAAUCUUCGGCAAUGGACGAAAGUCUGACCGAGCAACGCCGCGUGAGUGAAGAAGGUUUUCGGAUCGUAAAACUCUGUUGUUAGAGAAGAACAAGGACGUUAGUAACUGAACGUCCCCUGACGGUAUCUAACCAGAAAGCCACGGCUAACUACGUG